Microtus oregoni (creeping vole) is the source of this 2342-nucleotide RNA transcript. It is a transcript of the gene named protein Largen, with no coding region annotated. The transcript has 3 exons. The record is from RefSeq and is a predicted model, not a curated record. Lineage: Eukaryota; Metazoa; Chordata; Mammalia; Rodentia; Cricetidae.
CCGGCGCCGAGCGCCUCGUCUCGGGGAGUUGAUGGCAGCACCACAGUGCGGCCGCCCGGCCGAGCGCACCGCGCAGCCACCCGCCGCUGCCCUCCGAGCAGCCGAUAUGUGGGGGGACUGGGGUGGGAGCGGCCGGAGCAGCGCCAGGGACCCGGGCGCGCAGCAGCCUCUGCUCGCUCGCCUGUCCUGACCUGGCUCGCUAGUUCCCCACCGAAGAAUGUCAGCCAAGUCCAAAGGGAACCCCUCCUCGUCCUCUGCAGCCGAGGGACCUCCGGCAGCCUCCAAAACCAAGGUGAAGGAGCAGAUCAAGAUCAUAGUGGAGGAUCUGGAAUUAGUCCUGGGCGACCUGAAGGACGUGGCCAAAGAACUUAAGGAGGUGGUUGACCAGAUUGAUACCCUGACUUCUGACCUACAGCUGGAGGAUGAGAUGACCGACAGCUCCAAAACGGACACUCUGAACAGUAGCUCCAGCGGCACAACAGCCUCCAGCAUAGAGAAGAUCAAAGUGCAAGCCAAUGCCCCCCUCAUUAAACCUCCAGCCCAUCCAUCUGCUAUCCUCACGGUUCUGAGAAAGCCAAACCCCCCACCGCCUCCUCCACGGUUGACACCUGUGAAGUGUGAAGAGCCUCCAAGAGUGGUACCAACUGUCAAUCCGGUCAAGACCAACGGCACCCUUCUCCGGAAUGGAGGCCUACCAGGUAGACCCAACAAAAUUCCCAAUGGAGACAUCUGCUGCCUACCGAAUAGUAACUUGGACAAGGCUCCAGGGCAGUCUCUGAUGCACAGACCUGAAAAAGACAGAAGUCCCCAAGCAGGGCCUCGGGAACGAGUUCGGUUCAAUGAAAAAGUACAGUACCAUGGGUAUUGUCCUGACUGUGAGAGCCGCUAUCACAUAAAGAACAGGGAGGUCCAUUUGCACAGUGAACCAGUCCAUCCACCUGGAAAGCUCCCUCACCAAGGUCCUCCCUUCCCUCCUCCACCUCAUCUCCCCACUUUCCCAUUAGAAAAUGGGGGACUGGGAAUAAGCCACAGUAACAGCUUUCCCCCUCCCACACCUGCAGCUGUGCCUCCUCCCACUGCACCAAAACCACAGAAGACCAUCUUGAGAAAAUCCACCACAACCACAGUGUGAUGUCUGCCAUUUAAGAAAACUUUUUUGUUUGUUUUUAAUUUUCUAUAUGAUAAAUGAUAAGUAAUGAGCACUUUCUACUCAAGCAAUAAAAAAGCCCAAAUAUAUUAAUCUGCAUUCAACAAAGUGGCAUAAAAAUCACCUGCUUUAUCGGGUUGGAAGGAAUACCUUUAUUUAGAGGCAUGUGGAUUCAUUUUUCUUAUGUCAAACUGAUCCUGGACUUUUUGAGGCCAGAUCUAAUUUCAGUGUAACCAGGAGCCUGACCCUGUCAGAGAAGCUAACUUGUCUUUUGGAGCACAAAUGACCAAUGGGAUGGUCUGCCUAAAAUCAUCUGCCUCUCACCUGACAGCCAUGCACAGAGCCAGGUGGGCAGAAAAUGCCCCAGCCUUAAAAUAUCUUCACUCCUGAUUACCGAGAAGAUACAACACCCAGAAGAAAAUGACUAAGUUUUUAAGAAGCCAACAGAUAAACAAAAUCAAACAAUCUAAUUUCACAAUGGAAAAUCAAUAUUCUUGGAUAUCAAUCUGCCCAGAAAAAAAAUGCAAUUCAUCAAUGAAGUGAUUAAAUUAUACAUCAAUUUAACAUUUUAAGAGAUGGAAAGUUAUGGACAGGAGGUGUCUCAAGUGAGAAUUACUCCUAAUUUCAACAAAUGCCGACAAAACCAAAACUGAACCAGCUGGAACUUUGCAAGGAUGGGAUUAGGAAGAAUGUUGCAGUUUGCAGACAUGAAGAGAUCCACAGUCCAUAUUCCCUCAAAGCCAUAAGGGAGAGCAGCAUUGGCCCCAAUUGUUUGAAAAGUUCCAGUGUUACAUCCUCCACGUCAUACUGGUUGAGAGGGGAAAUUGCUUUACCCUGAUUACAUCUCCAUGCACUUCUGUUAUUUGCACAGUUGCUUCCAUUCAGGGUAAGGAAGUGUUCUGGUAUUUGCACAGAUGAUCCCACCAGUUUGGAGACCACAAGAAGCAGUUUCUUGAAGGCAUCCAAAAAGGAUCACUUGAGAAUUAUUAAGAUAAUGAGUUCCCCUUUUAUUUUCUAAUUAACAAAUAGUCAGUUACUUACAUAAAGAACUGAAUUUGUUUCUGAACAAAACUGUAAAAUUAUAAAGAAAACAUUAUUGUGGUCAAAUGAAUGAGAUCAAAAGGGUUUUAUAUAUAUGUGUGUCAUUAAUAUUAAAAAGCUGAAACUGUGUACUAAACAGUGAUGUUUAAUUCUG